RNAcentral lists this ribosomal RNA (253 nucleotides) under uncultured bacterium. Its description in RNAcentral is "partial 16S ribosomal RNA". It matches the Rfam family "Bacterial small subunit ribosomal RNA", at positions 524 to 776 of the family's 1533-position model. The record is from RNAcentral.
UACGUAGGGCGCAAGCGUUGUCCGGAAUCAUUGGGCGUAAAGAGCUCGUAGGCGGCCUGUUGCGUCCGCUGUGAAAUCCCGGGGCUCAACCCCGGGCCUGCAGUGGAUACGGGCUGGCUAGAGGCAGGCAGGGGAGAACGGAAUUCCUGGUGUAGCGGUGAAAUGCGCAGAUAUCAGGAGGAACACCGGUGGCGAAGGCGGUUCUCUGGGCCUGUACUGACGCUGAGGAGCGAAAGCGUGGGUAGCAAACAGG